Molecule: ribosomal RNA, 2916 nt
Filed under: Bacillus cereus D17
Lineage: Bacteria; Bacillati; Bacillota; Bacilli; Caryophanales; Bacillaceae
Description: bacterial LSU rRNA
Rfam family: Bacterial large subunit ribosomal RNA
Source: RNAcentral
UAAGUUAGAAAGGGCGCACGGUGGAUGCCUUGACACUAGGAGUCGAUGAAGGACGGGACUAACGCCGAUAUGCUUCGGGGAGCUGUAAGUAAGCUUUGAUCCGAAGAUUUCCGAAUGGGGAAACCCACCAUACGUAAUGGUAUGGUAUCCUUAUCUGAAUACAUAGGGUAAGGAAGACAGACCCAGGGAACUGAAACAUCUAAGUACCUGGAGGAAGAGAAAGCAAAUGCGAUUUCCUGAGUAGCGGCGAGCGAAACGGAACAUAGCCCAAACCAAGAGGCUUGCCUCUUGGGGUUGUAGGACAUUCUAUACGGAGUUACAAAGGAACGAGGUAGACGAAGCGACCUGGAAAGGUCCGUCGUAGAGGGUAACAACCCCGUAGUCGAAACUUCGUUCUCUCUUGAAUGUAUCCUGAGUACGGCGGAACACGUGAAAUUCCGUCGGAAUCUGGGAGGACCAUCUCCCAAGGCUAAAUACUCCCUAGUGAUCGAUAGUGAACCAGUACCGUGAGGGAAAGGUGAAAAGCACCCCGGAAGGGGAGUGAAAGAGAUCCUGAAACCGUGUGCCUACAAAUAGUCAGAGCCCGUUAACGGGUGAUGGCGUGCCUUUUGUAGAAUGAACCGGCGAGUUACGAUCCCGUGCGAGGUUAAGCUGAAGAGGCGGAGCCGCAGCGAAAGCGAGUCUGUAUAGGGCGUUUAGUACGUGGUCGUAGACCCGAAACCAGGUGAUCUACCCAUGUCCAGGGUGAAGUUCAGGUAACACUGAAUUGGAGGCCCGAACCCACGCACGUUGAAAAGUGCGGGGAUGAGGUGUGGGUAGCGGAGAAAUUCCAAUCGAACCUGGAGAUAGCUGGUUCUCCCCGAAAUAGCUUUAGGGCUAGCCUUAAGUGUAAGAGUCUUGGAGGUAGAGCACUGAUUGGACUAGGGGUCCUCAUCGGAUUACCGAAUUCAGUCAAACUCCGAAUGCCAAUGACUUAUCCUUAGGAGUCAGACUGCGAGUGAUAAGAUCCGUAGUCAAAGGGAACAGCCCAGACCGCCAGCUAAGGUCCCAAAGUGUGUAUUAAGUGGAAAAGGAUGUGGAGUUGCUUAGACAACUAGGAUGUUGGCUUAGAAGCAGCCACCAUUUAAAGAGUGCGUAAUAGCUCACUAGUCGAGUGACUCUGCGCCGAAAAUGUACCGGGGCUAAAUACACCACCGAAGCUGCGGAUUGAUACCAAUGGUAUCAGUGGUAGGGGAGCGUUCUAAGGACAGUGAAGUCAGACCGGAAGGACUGGUGGAGUGCUUAGAAGUGAGAAUGCCGGUAUGAGUAGCGAAAGACGGGUGAGAAUCCCGUCCACCGAAUGCCUAAGGUUUCCUGAGGAAGGCUCGUCCGCUCAGGGUUAGUCAGGACCUAAGCCGAGGCCGACAGGCGUAGGCGAUGGACAACAGGUUGAUAUUCCUGUACCACCUCUUUAUCGUUUGAGCAAUGGAGGGACGCAGAAGGAUAGAAGAAGCGUGCGAUUGGUUGUGCACGUCCAAGCAGUUAGGCUGAUAAGUAGGCAAAUCCGCUUAUCGUGAAGGCUGAGCUGUGAUGGGGAAGCUCCUUAUGGAGCGAAGUCUUUGAUUCCCCGCUGCCAAGAAAAGCUUCUAGCGAGAUAAAAGGUGCCUGUACCGCAAACCGACACAGGUAGGCGAGGAGAGAAUCCUAAGGUGUGCGAGAGAACUCUGGUUAAGGAACUCGGCAAAAUGACCCCGUAACUUCGGGAGAAGGGGUGCUUUCUUAACGGAAAGCCGCAGUGAAUAGGCCCAAGCGACUGUUUAGCAAAAACACAGCUCUCUGCGAAGCCGUAAGGCGAAGUAUAGGGGGUGACACCUGCCCGGUGCUGGAAGGUUAAGGAGAGGGGUUAGCGUAAGCGAAGCUCUGAACUGAAGCCCCAGUAAACGGCGGCCGUAACUAUAACGGUCCUAAGGUAGCGAAAUUCCUUGUCGGGUAAGUUCCGACCCGCACGAAAGGUGUAACGAUUUGGGCACUGUCUCAACCAGAGACUCGGUGAAAUUAUAGUACCUGUGAAGAUGCAGGUUACCCGCGACAGGACGGAAAGACCCCGUGGAGCUUUACUGUAGCCUGAUAUUGAAUUUUGGUACAGUUUGUACAGGAUAGGCGGGAGCCUUUGAAACCGGAGCGCUAGCUUCGGUGGAGGCGCUGGUGGGAUACCGCCCUGACUGUAUUGAAAUUCUAACCUACGGGUCUUAUCGACCCGGGAGACAGUGUCAGGUGGGCAGUUUGACUGGGGCGUCGCCUCCUAAAGUGUAACGGAGGCGCCCAAAGGUUCCCUCAGAAUGGUUGGAAAUCAUUCGUAGAGUGCAAAGGCAUAAGGGAGCUUGACUGCGAGACCUACAAGUCGAGCAGGGACGAAAGUCGGGCUUAGUGAUCCGGUGGUUCCGCAUGGAAGGGCCAUCGCUCAACGGAUAAAAGCUACCCCGGGGAUAACAGGCUUAUCUCCCCCAAGAGUCCACAUCGACGGGGAGGUUUGGCACCUCGAUGUCGGCUCAUCGCAUCCUGGGGCUGUAGUCGGUCCCAAGGGUUGGGCUGUUCGCCCAUUAAAGCGGUACGCGAGCUGGGUUCAGAACGUCGUGAGACAGUUCGGUCCCUAUCCGUCGUGGGCGUAGGAAAUUUGAGAGGAGCUGUCCUUAGUACGAGAGGACCGGGAUGGACGCACCGCUGGUGUACCAGUUGUUCUGCCAAGGGCAUAGCUGGGUAGCUAUGUGCGGAAGGGAUAAGUGCUGAAAGCAUCUAAGCAUGAAGCCCCCCUCAAGAUGAGAUUUCCCAUAGCGUAAGCUAGUAAGAUCCCUGAAAGAUGAUCAGGUUGAUAGGUUCGAGGUGGAAGCAUGGUGACAUGUGGAGCUGACGAAUACUAAUAGAUCGAGGACUUAACCA